CUUAACGUGAAACACCUCUUUUAGGUGAAACAAAACUAUGGAUUCCAGAAGUAUGUGGAAUAAUAGGCCACAAGUAAGUACAGACAAUAGACAGAGAAUGGUCAAAUCAAAAGUCAGGUCAAACAAAGGAAACACAAAAUGAAUGUAAGUCAUAGUACUGAGAACACUCCUAGGAGUUCUGAACCACAAAUGUGUAAUGAGGUGAGAGGUUUUUUGUUUUUUUUUAACUCCCUUCCCCUGGCAUCCCUGAUGCCUAUAAAAUCUGCAGCAUUACCAGGUGCAGAAUGACGUACAAAUGGAGCAGGUUCAGAGUCAAAAAAAGUGUCCGGUGUCAGAAUGUCUGCCACAUCGAAAACAUGAUGCCAGUUGGCCAACGUUCCAGACACUUCUUAAUCUUUUCCUAAUACUGCACGUAUCUACCUAACCUCACUAAAAAAAUAAGUAUGUCCCAUCCAGACCCCUAUGCUCUGCUAAACAUCUUUAUCUGUCGCCUGUUUACACUCACAUCACUGCCUCUCACCAGCAGGACUUCUGUAGGGCUGCAUCUUUCAUAUGAAACUACCAUUCCUGACUCUUCC
Molecule: non-coding RNA, 578 nt
Organism: Pelobates cultripes (western spadefoot toad)
Lineage: Eukaryota; Metazoa; Chordata; Amphibia; Anura; Pelobatidae
Source: the annotation of a GenBank genome assembly